This 311-nucleotide unclassified non-coding RNA is filed under the name Hevea brasiliensis (rubber tree). The record is from RNAcentral. Lineage: Eukaryota; Viridiplantae; Streptophyta; Magnoliopsida; Malpighiales; Euphorbiaceae.
GCUCUCCUUCGUGCAAGUGCCUUUCUGGAUCAUACUUGAGUGGAUCAGGCCAUGUCUUUGGGUUCCUGCCAAGCCCAUACCGGCUAAGUGUUGCCCAGCUACCCUUUGGAAUAAAGUAANACCGAUAACAGAGUCUUCCAUAGCUACAUGAGGGACAUUGAAGUGUGCAACUGGAUGGAGCCUAAAGGCUUCUCUUGCACAAGCCUUGACAUAAUUAAGGUUGGGGAUGUCAGAUUCUUGAACAAGCCUGUCUUUGCCAACCACCCUGUCAAGUUCCUCUGUGGCCUUCUUCAGGAUUUCUGGUUGAUUUA